GACGGAGGGUGCGAGCGUUGUUCGGAUUGACUGGGCGUAAAGGGCGUGUAGGCGGUCGGUCAAGUCCGGUGUGAAAGCCCGGGGCUCAGCCCCGGAAGUGCAUCGGAAACUAGCCGACUUGAGCGCGAUAGAGGAGGGUGGAAUUCCUGGUGUAGCGGUGAAAUGCGUAGAUAUCAGGAGGAACAUCGGCGGCGAAGGCGGCCCUCUGGCUCGUUGCUGACGCUGAGACGCGAAAGCGUGGGGAGCAAACAGG
RNAcentral lists this ribosomal RNA (253 nucleotides) under uncultured bacterium. RNAcentral's name for it is "partial 16S ribosomal RNA". It matches the Rfam family "Bacterial small subunit ribosomal RNA", at positions 524 to 776 of the family's 1533-position model. The record is from RNAcentral.